UUAUCCCCUGCGUCAAGUCAACUAACCUC
This 29-nucleotide non-coding RNA is filed under the name Rattus norvegicus (Norway rat). Lineage: Eukaryota; Metazoa; Chordata; Mammalia; Rodentia; Muridae. The record is from RNAcentral.